UGGCUCUGGAGAAGGCUGCGUGGCAAGAGGCGGCCAGUGAUAGCGUUCUGCCUCUUGAUGACCCUCUCUGCGAUGGCUGUCACCCGCUUUCCCCCACAGCGCCCAUCUGCUGGCCCAGACCCUGGUCCCAUGGAGCCUCAGGGGGUAACUGGCACCCCUGCAACCCGUAUCCGGCAGGCUUUGAGCUCCAGCCGGAGGCAGCGGGCAAGAAACAUGGGCUUCUGGAGAGGCCGUGCUUUGCCCAGGAACUCCAUCUUGGUCUGUGCUGAGGAGCAAGGCCAUAGAGCAAGAGUGGACAGAAGCAGGGAGUCCCUAGGAGGGUACCUCAGGCAUCCAGGAAGGGUCAGGAGGGACAUUACUUUGUCAGGACAUCCAAGACUCAGUACUCAGCAUGUUGUGCUCCUGAGGGAGGAUGAGGUCGGAGAUCCAGGAGCCAAAGACCUGGGUCACCCCCAGCAUGGCGGUCCCAUCCAAGAGACACAGAGUGAGAUGGUUGCCCUGGUCGGUCCACUCCCAGGGAGCGACGUGGCAGCUUUACGGGCUUGGAGAGCUACUGCUGGGCUGACAUUCUGGCCCCAUACAGCAGAAGGCAGGGAUCUGCUGGCAGCUGAGAACAGAGCCUUGACUGGUGGGCGACAAGCAGAGGAUCCCACCUUGGCCUCAGGGGCUCAUCAGUGGCCUGGCUCUGUUGAGAAGCUGCAAGGGUCAGUAUGGUGUGACGCUGAGACGCUGUUGAGCAGCUCUAGGACUGAUGGGCAGGCUCCCCCAUGGCUGACAGACCACGACGUGCAGAUGCUCCGGCUGUUGGCGCAGGGGGAGGUGGGGGGCAAAGCCAGGGUCCCCGCCCAUGGGCAGGUGCUACAGGUUGGCUUCUCCGCUGAGGGUGCCCUUCAGGGCAUGUCCUCUCCCAGGCUCAGCCAACUCUGCUCCCAGGGGCUCUGUGGCCUGAUCAAGAGGCCUGGGGACCUGCCUGAGGUCCUGUCCUUCCACGUAGAUCGCGUGCUGGGGCUGCGUCGGAGCCUACCUGCUGUGGCCCGCCGCUUUCACAGCCCCCUCCUGCCCUACCGCUACACAGACGGUAGAGCGAGGCCUGUCAUCUGGUGGGCGCCCGAUGUGCAGCAUCUGAGUGACCCGGAUGAGGAUCAGAACUCUCUGGCCUUGGGCUGGCUGCAGUACCAGGCCCUGCUGGCACACGGCUGCAGCUGGCCAGGCCAGGCCCCAUGCCUGGGCAUCCAUCAUACCGAGUGGGCACGCCUGGCGCUCUUCGACUUCCUGUUGCAGGUAGGUGGGGUUGGGCAGUGGGGUUAGAGAGCUGCAGAGGUAGGGGGUUCUGGGUGGAGAGGCCUGAAUUGCCCACCUGAGGUUGGAUGGUGACUCUCCCCCAGGUCCUGGUUUUUUGACCACCAAGCACCUGUUUUUGUAAUUUUCCUUCCUCUAUUUAUUUAUCCAGUGGUUACCAGAGCCAGCUCAUCAGUUCACAAGAGCUGAUGGCUAAAAUUUUCAGGAAUUUUGUACCUAGUUGUGAAACACAGGCAUUAUGAAAAAAUUGAGUUGUAGAAACAAUAAUAAAUUAUAUUAGCAAC
Molecule: RNA transcript, 1583 nt
Organism: Mandrillus leucophaeus (drill)
Lineage: Eukaryota; Metazoa; Chordata; Mammalia; Primates; Cercopithecidae
Gene name: protein FAM198A pseudogene
Exons: 1
Source: RefSeq, a predicted model, not a curated record